Molecule: ribosomal RNA, 494 nt
Filed under: uncultured bacterium
Lineage: Bacteria
Description: partial 16S ribosomal RNA
Rfam family: Bacterial small subunit ribosomal RNA
Source: RNAcentral
GACGAACGCUGGCGGCGUGCUUAACACAUGCAAGUCGAACGGAAAGGCCUGCUUUCCCUUGUGGAUUGCGGGUACUCGAGUGGCGAACGGGUGAGUAACACGUGAGUGAUCUGCCCCCAACUUGGGUAUAAGCCUGGGAAACUGGGUCUAAUUCCCGAUAGGACUGCAGGGUGGUGCCUGUGGUGGAAAACGAUUUUCUAGUGGUUGGGGAUGAGCUCGCGGCCUAUCAGCUUGUUGGUGGGGUAAUGGCCUACCAAGGCGGCGACGGGUAGCCGGCCUGGGAGGGUGGACGGCCACAUUGGGACUGAGAUACGGCCCAGACUCCGACGGGAGGCAGCAGUGGGGAAUAUUGCACAAUGGGCGGAAGCCUGAUGCAGCGACGCCGCGUGGGGGAUGACGGCCUUCGGGUGGUAAACUCCUUUCGACCGCGAGGAAGCCACCUGGUUGGAAGGGUGGUGACGGUAGUGGUAGAAGAAGCACCGGCUAACUACGUG